AACGAACGCUGGCGGCAUGCCUAACACAUGCAGGUCGAACGAGACCUUCGGGUCUAGUGGCGCACGGGUGCGUAACGCGUGGGAACCUGCCCCUUGGUUCGGAAUAACACAGAGAAAUUUGUGCUAAUACCGGAUGAUGUCUUCGGACCAAAGAUUUAUCGCCGAGGGAUGGGCCCGCGUAGGAUUAGCUUGUUGGUGGGGUAAUGGCCUACCAAGGCGACGAUCCUUAGCUGGUCNGAGAGGAUGAUCAGCCUCAUUGGGACUGAGACACGGCCCAAACUCCUACGGGAGGCAGCAGUGGGGAAUAUUGGACAAUGGGCGCAAGCCUGAUCCAGCCAUGCCGCGUGGAUGAUGAAGGCCCUAGGGUUGUAAAGUCCUCUCGACGGGGAAGAUAAUGACGGUACCCGUAGAAGAAGCCCCGGCUAACUUCGUGCCAGCAGCCGCCGUAAC
This 450-nucleotide ribosomal RNA is filed under the name uncultured bacterium. RNAcentral's name for it is "bacterial SSU rRNA". It matches the Rfam family "Bacterial small subunit ribosomal RNA", at positions 29 to 524 of the family's 1533-position model. The record is from RNAcentral.